ACGCUAGCGGCAGGCCUAACACAUGCAAGUCGAGGGGUAGGGUAGCAAUACCUGAGACCGGCGCACGGGUGCGUAACGCGUAUGCAAUCUACCUUUUACAGAGGGAUAGCCCAGAGAAAUUUGGAUUAAUACCUCAUAGUAUAUAUCAUUCGCAUGUUUGAUAUAUUAAAGUUCCAACGGUAAAAGAUGAGCAUGCGUCCUAUUAGCUAGUUGGUGUGGUAACGGCACACCAAGGCAACGAUAGGUAGGGGUCCUGAGAGGGAGAUCCCCCACACUGGUACUGAGACACGGACCAGACUCCUACGGGAGGCAGCAGUGAGGAAUAUUGGACAAUGGGCGCAAGCCUGAUCCAGCCAUGCCGCGUGCAGGAAGACGCAUCUAUGGUGUGUAAACUGCUUUUGUACGGGAAGAAACACUCCUACGUGUAGGAGCUUGACGGUACCGUAAGAAUAAGCAUCGGCUAACUCCGUGCCAGCAGCCGCGGUAAUACGGAGGAUGCAAGCGUUAUCCGGACUGAUUGGGUGUAAAGCAUCUGUAGGCGGUUUUGGAAGUCUACGGUUAAAUCCCAGAGCUUAACUUUGGUUCAGCCGUAGAGUACUUCAAAGCUUGAGUAUGGUAGGGGUAGAGGGAACUUCUCGUGGAGCGGUGAAAUGCACAGAGAUGAGAAGGAACACCAGUGGCGAAAGCGCUCUACUGGGCCAUGACUGACGCUGAGAGAUGACAGCUGAGGGAGCGAAUAGGAUUAGAUACCCUAGUAGUCUCAGCCGUAAACGAUGGAUACUAGAUGUUGCCACAAGCAGUGUCGAAGCUAACGCGUUAAGUAUCCCACCUGGGGGAGUACGUACGCCAGUAUGAAACUC
RNAcentral lists this ribosomal RNA (860 nucleotides) under uncultured bacterium. RNAcentral's name for it is "bacterial SSU rRNA". It matches the Rfam family "Bacterial small subunit ribosomal RNA", at positions 33 to 902 of the family's 1533-position model. The record is from RNAcentral.